This 253-nucleotide ribosomal RNA is filed under the name uncultured bacterium. RNAcentral's name for it is "partial 16S ribosomal RNA". It matches the Rfam family "Bacterial small subunit ribosomal RNA", at positions 524 to 776 of the family's 1533-position model. The record is from RNAcentral.
UACAAAGGUCUCAAGCGUUGUUCGGAUUCAUUGGGCGUAAAGGGUGCGUAGGCGGCGCGGUAAGUCGGAUGUGAAAUCUCGGAGCUUAACUCCGAAACUGCAUUCGAUACUGCCGUGCUUGAGGACUGGAGAGGAGACUGGAAUUUACGGUGUAGCGGUGAAAUGCGUAGAUAUCGUAAGGAAGACCAGUGGCGAAGGCGGGUCUCUGGACAGUUCCUGACGCUGAGGCACGAAGGCCAGGGGAGCAAACGGG